UACGGAGGGUGCGAGCGUUGUCCGGAAUCACUGGGUGUAAAGGGCGCGUAGGCGGCAUGCCAAGCGUGUGGUGAAAGCCCGGGGCUCAACCCCGGGUCGGCCGUGCGGACUGGCGUGCUCGAGCACUGUAGGGGCGGGUGGAAUUCCGGGUGUAGCGGUGGAAUGCGUAGAGAUCCGGAAGAACACCGGUGGCGAAGGCGGCCCGCUGGGCAGGAAGGCUCGCAAGAGCCGGCUGACGCUGAGGCGCGACAGCGUGGGGAGCAAACAGG
RNAcentral lists this ribosomal RNA (269 nucleotides) under uncultured bacterium. Its description in RNAcentral is "partial 16S ribosomal RNA". It matches the Rfam family "Bacterial small subunit ribosomal RNA", at positions 524 to 776 of the family's 1533-position model. The record is from RNAcentral.